This 468-nucleotide ribosomal RNA is filed under the name uncultured bacterium. RNAcentral's name for it is "partial 16S ribosomal RNA". It matches the Rfam family "Bacterial small subunit ribosomal RNA", at positions 28 to 507 of the family's 1533-position model. The record is from RNAcentral.
GAUGAACGCUGGCGGCGUGCUUAACACAUGCAAGUCGAACGGAAAGGCCCAAGCUUGCUUGGGUACUCGAGUGGCGAACGGGUGAGUAACACGUGGGUGAUCUGCCCUGCACUUCGGGAUAAGCCUGGGAAACUGGGUCUAAUACCGGAUAGGACGAUGGUUUGGAUGCCAUUGUGGAAAGUUUUUUCGGUGUGGGAUGAGCUCGCGGCCUAUCAGCUUGUUGGUGGGGUAAUGGCCUACCAAGGCGUCGACGGGUAGCCGGCCUGAGAGGGUGUACGGCCACAUUGGGACCGAGAUACGGCCCAGACUCCUACGGGAGGCAGCAGUGGGGAAUAUUGCACAAUGGGCGCAAGCCUGAUGCAGCGACGCCGCGUGGGGGAUGACGGCCUUCGGGUUGUAAACUCCUUUCGCUAGGGACGAAGCGUUUUUGUGACGGUACCUGGAGAAGAAGCACCGGCUAACUACGUG